CUCUGCGAGUGCUGUGUGCAUGUCAAUCUCCUCGUCUCCCCCUCUGUUGAAGCCCAGACCCUCAGCCACAAUAGUCUAUUCAGAACUUUGCUUCUUGCUGGAUUCUUGUCCUGACUUCCAGUUCAUCAUAGUUUAUUCAAUAUACGCAGAGAGGGUCACUCUGUGAUCUGUGCAAACUUCAAAAACAAAACAAGAAACGAAAGAAAAAAAAAACCCAGCUGCCGGAGAACCUUGUGAAUAGUGGCUCCUGUCAAGUGUGGGCUACAGCUUUUAUCACCAUCAUCUGUAUUCCAGGUCCCCAGAUUUUGUCUUUAAGGCACACACCCGCCCUUGUGUGGCAGGCGGAGCCCUCACCUCCAGCCGCAGGCGCAGGGGACACUCUGGCUAGCAGCUGGGUGUCUGUCCCCACAUUAACCAAGACUGUGAGACUCCAUUUUCUGCUUCAUUUCUGAAUCUCCUGCAAGCCCCCCAGACACUGCUGGUGAGCUGUGCCCGGCCAGGGCUCCCCUGCGUUCUCUGCCCUGGGCACCCCCUUUGUGUGGGAUCGCAGCCCCAAGACUCUCUUUCCUGCAGGACCUUCUGGGAGGGGGGUGGUGGUGGUGGCAGGAAUCGGCCGGCUUGUUGCUCUGUUGCCUCCUGCACCAGCAUGUGAGCUCCACCAUGGAGGGGACCCUUUGCCUUGGCCUCAGCCCCCCGACAUCAGGCAGGCGCAGCACCCACUGAAUAUUUGUCGAACAAAGAAAUCGGCGUAUCUGGCGCUUGUUUGCAUUUAUAUGAGAAACCCUUGCAUUUAGAAAUCUCAUCUUUUUGUCAAUUUUCCAGCUUUGAGGGAGAGCUAUUAUUAAACUCUUUUGUCUGGUUGUCAUAGCAACCCACUGGCCUCCAGAGCUACAGGUUAUUUCUGAUGGGCAUGUUCCACCAGACAACUGAGCGCACGGCGUUUGCGAUUAUGGAAUCAUGCCGCUGUUCCAAAUCACAGUCCUCACCCUGCAUGUGUCUCGGUGUCUUGGAUAGUGAGAGCGGGGAGCUCGCCAGCAAACAGGCCCCUUCCGACGCAAAGGCUAUUCUUGCUGCUUCUCUCCCUUGCUCACUCUCUGGAUUUGAAGAUCAUUUUCUUUUGGACUCAUAGUACGUGUCAACGCUUAACCAAGAACCCUCCUGACCCUCAUCUGAUAACUGGAACAGCUCAAGAUUUUAUGGAUUUACACUUCCAUGUUCCUCUCAUGCUCCGGGUAGGAUUACAGUACCCUUUUCAUUUUGUCAUACUUCCUCCAAGCUUUUUUUUUUUUUUUUUUUUGAAAACAAGUUUUCUUACCAGGUCAUACUACAGAUUUAUUGUGAUUUUAUGUGAUUUUCUCACACUUUCUCAUUUCACAAGUCCUCUCUAUAGGGGAAAAAGGUUCCCUUAUCUACAUGCGCAUGUGCGCACACUAAUAUGAAGAGGCUGUACACAGGAGGAUGUUGUUUGCAGUGUUACAUUAGCAACGUUAAACAGUCACUAAAGUUCACCCACCAACAAAUAUUCACAGCCUAAGCAUAUACCCAAAUAUUCGGCAAACAUUUCUACUAAAGAACCAUAUGCGGCCUGUGAAAAAAAACAAGGUGGAUCUGUGUGCAUUGAGAUGGGAAGAUGUUUGCCAUAGAACUUGUUGUUGGGACUGUGUGACAUCUGAAACCCUUUCCUAUGUCUGCAUGACCUAAUGUUGUGUGACUCUCCUGGGGACCAGGGCUUCUCUAUGGAUGCCGAAAACUUCACAGGCAGGUCCUGUCCCAGACUCCUGGCAGAGAGCAUGUGGGGGAAAAACAUGAGCUCGCAUGGUCGUUUCCAGGACUUCCAAUCUCCAGAAGUGGCAUAAAGAAGCAGAGCUUUUAGAAUUCAUUCUGGGGAAGCAGCAGUAGCAGCAGAAAGAACAGCGACUUUUUGGGAGCAGCAGAGUAGCAGCAUAUUAAUAAGACUUUUUGAUGUGACUUUUCACUUCCUUUUAAAAUUGGUAUUACAUUCAAUUAAUUCAAAAUGCAAAGAGGACAAAAGCUAUACAUAAUGAGAAGUUCCCUCUCCUUUCUCCUGUCCAUCUUAUCCUUGUCCUGACACCUAGUUUUCUGAUGUUACUAAUUUGGGGUAUAUCCUUCCUUUUAGGGCUAUUUUCUGGAUACAUAUGACCAUAUGCAGAUCUUUCUCUUUUUUUCAUUAAUUCAUUAAUUCAUUCAUGACUAAAACUGUAGCAUGUUAUAUAAACUGCUUUUUAAAAGGAUUUUAUUUUUUUAUUCAUGACACACACACACACACACACACACACACAUACACACACAUACACACAGAGGCAGAGACACCAGCAGAGGGAGAAGCAGUCUCCAUGCAGGGAGCCUGAUGUGGGACUCUAUCCCAGGACUCCAGGAUCACGCCCUGGGCCAAAGGCUGAGCCACCCAGGUGUCCCUAUAAACUGCUUCUGAUCCCGGAGCACAUUCUAUAUCAGUGUGUCCAGGACGUGUUCAUUCUUUGAUAGUUAGAGUAGGCAUUGUGUAAAUAUAUCAGUUCCUAUGGAUGGACAUUUAGGGGAUGUAUAGUCCUUUGCUAUUACCAACAAUGGUGCCAUGAAUACCCUUGUAUUCGUGGUUUCAUAUCUUUGCCAAAGUUUCUGUAGGGCAAACUUCUCAAAGGGCAUGUACCUUUGGAAUUUUAAUGAGGUAUUACCAAAUUGCCCUCUGGAAAGUUUAUGGCAAUUUAUGCUCCUACCAGCAGUGAGUAGUGGUGCCAUUUCCCCACAUCCUCCCCCCAAAUGUGGGACUAGAUUAUUGAUCUUUGCUCUGACUUGAUUUUGACUUUAUUUCUGGCUGUUUGAGAAAUUUUGGAGGCACCUGGCUGGCUCAGUCAGUUGAGCGUCUGCCUUCGGGUCAGGUCAUGAUCCUAAGGUCCCAGGAUCAAGUCCUGCAUUGGCUCCCUGCUCAAUGGGGAGUCUGCUUCUCCCUCUGACCCUGCCCCAUCUUGGGUGCUCUCACUCACUCUCUCUCUCAAAUAAAUAAAGUCUUUAAAAAAUGUUUUUUGUUGUUUCUUGGGGGCACUCAGGUGACUUGGUCAAUUAAGUGUCUGACUCUUGAUCUUAGCACAGGUCAUGACCUCAAGGUCAUGAGUUUGAGCCCCACACAUCUGGCUCCACACCGGGCAUGGAAUCUACUUAAGAAAAAAAAAAAAAAAAAAGAAAGAAAAGAAAAGAAAAACAAACUUGUUUCUUCAUGUUUUCUGAGCUAGUACUCUGUGUUUCCAACACAUUGCUUUUGUUUUUGCUUAAUCAGAGGAAGUUUCUGUUAUUUGCAACCAAGAACCUAGACCUAGACAUCUAUAAUCUAUGAUCUAUCUUUGAAAGUAAAAUCAAAUUGAGGAAUAAUAGGCAUACAGUGAUUCUUAUUUUUAUAAAACCAAAAGAAAUCAAAACAGGGGCACCUGGGUGGCUCAGCAGUUGAACAUCUGCCUUUGGCUCAGGUCAUGAUCCCGAAGUCCUGGGAUCAAGUUCCACAUUCAGUUCCCCACAGGGAGCCUGCUUCUCCAUCUGCCUGUGUCUCUGCCUCUCUCUGUGUGUCUCUCAUGAAUAAAUAAAUAAAAAUUUUUAAAAAAGGAAAUCAGGGAUCCCUGGGUGGCGCAGCGGUUUGGCGCCUGCCUUUGGCCCUGGGCGCGAUCCUGGAGACCCAGGAUCGAAUCCCACGUCGGGCUCCCGGUGCAUGGAGCCUGCUUCUCCGUCUGCCUGUGUCUCUGCCUCUCUCUCUCUCUCUCUGUGACAUAAAUAAAUAAAAAUUAAAAAAAAUAAAAAAAUAAAAAAAGGAAAUCAAAAGCUAUAUACAUAUCGUUUAGAGAAAAUUCUGGAAGGACACAAACUAGACAGUGGCUGGUUGCCUCUGGAUGAGGGGCUCACAAGGUUAGGGGGACAUUUUAACUUUUCCCUUCAUAUACUUGAAUAUCACUGGAAAUUUUUAUGAUGAGUAUAUUAUACUUUUUAAAGUUUUAAAUUAAGAAAAAACAUAGGACCUUAAAAACUCCUCAAAUUCUUAAAUCUGCAGUGCCAUAUCAGUUUGCUCAGGCUGCCCUAACAGAACACCACAGACUGGGAGGCUUCAAGUAACAAUCAUUACUUUAAAAAAAAUUGGGGUCGGGGGUACUCCUGAGUGGCUCAGUGGUUGAGCAUCUUCCUUUGGCUCAGGGCAUGAUCCUGCUGUCCCGGAGUCAAGUCCCACCUGCAUCAGGCUCCCAACAUGGAGCCUGCUUCUCCCUCUGUCUGUGUCUCUACCUCUCUCUCUGUCUCUCAUGAAUAAAUAAAUAAAAUCUUUACAAAAAAAUUUUUUUAACAGUUGUUACCUUCAAAAAAAUUUUUUGAAGUAAUCUCUAUGCUCAAUGUGGGGCUUGAACUCGUAACCUUGAGAUCAAGAGCUGUAUGCUUUACCAACUGAGCCAGCUAGAUUCCCCAACAAUCAUUACUAAUAUCUAGUCACUGUUAAUUUUCUUUUUACAGCAGCAUCGUUUCACAUUGUUCUGAA
RNAcentral lists this long non-coding RNA (4525 nucleotides) under Canis lupus familiaris (dog). RNAcentral describes it as "lncRNA (ENSCAFG00000049499.2)". Lineage: Eukaryota; Metazoa; Chordata; Mammalia; Carnivora; Canidae. The record is from RNAcentral.